RNAcentral lists this long non-coding RNA (248 nucleotides) under Arabidopsis lyrata. RNAcentral's name for it is "long non-coding RNA (ALYR_LNC003380)". The record is from RNAcentral. Lineage: Eukaryota; Viridiplantae; Streptophyta; Magnoliopsida; Brassicales; Brassicaceae.
UCAUGCAUAAGCUUUGGAAAAGAAACUAGCAACCUAACAAUGCAGAGAAACGAUCUAGGCCUAGCAGGUCGAGCUAAGCAACAGAGACUAACAGAAACAAGAUUUAAACUAUCAAUAGAGAUGAAGGGUCCUGAGGAAUGGGGUAAUCGAUUAUGGCAGUCUCCUUAGCCUACCUAGGUGGUUAACAAACUCAAUCAAGCUAUCCCUAGACAAUAGAUUCGAAUACAAAUCAAUCCACUCUCGUGACA